RNAcentral lists this ribosomal RNA (89 nucleotides) under Listeria monocytogenes. The record is from RNAcentral. Lineage: Bacteria; Bacillati; Bacillota; Bacilli; Caryophanales; Listeriaceae.
UCUGGUGACAAUGGCAAGGAGGUCACACCUGUUCCCAUGCCGAACACAGAAGUUAAGCUCCUUAGCGCCGAUGGUAGUCGGACUGACGU